Non-coding RNA from Chelonoidis abingdonii (Abingdon island giant tortoise), 1869 nucleotides. The record is from RefSeq and is a predicted model, not a curated record. Lineage: Eukaryota; Metazoa; Chordata; Testudines; Testudinidae.
UAAUGAAAAAUAAUCAAGUCAACAACAAUGAACAUUCGAACAUUCUGCUCAGCCUAUUAAACACUAUCUACAUAGUCAAGAUUUUGGAACUCAUCAAGGAGAUCUUCUGAUGUGCCUGAUCCCUCCCUCUUAACAGGUGUUAUAGGAACAGUACAAUAGAAGGACUCUUCUCUAAAAGAUAAAGAAAAAAAAGGAAGACAGAGGGCAGCAGUCAGCAAAAAAUGAAGAGCAAGGCAGAAGGAAAGACAGGGUAAGGCUGACAGCAACUUGAAAGAAAAUGCUGAAUAUUGCUCAUUUAACUAAAUUAAACAGAAAUAUGACACGUAGGAACAAGAUACAUUAAAGUCAAUGACAGGAAAAGAUGAGAAAAUUAUGGACUCUUUUUAAAGUUGUAGUUAAAACAAUGAAGUUUCCAAAAACUUUAUAUAAUAAGUGCAUUUUAUAAACCUAAAGUUUUGUAGCCAUCUCAAGAUCACUGGGAACCCCCUCUCCCCAACGCUUAAAGAGUUAAUUUAGGGGGGUUGUUCUGUUUUUUGUUUGUUUUUUUUUUAAUUCUAUUACAUAAUUUAUUCCAUUAUCACCAGUGCCUUUAACAGUAGGCGGUAACAUGGACAAACAAAAAUGGCUACGAUUUAAAAAACGGAGUCAAUUAAGCAUCUGAGUUGUUUGUUACGAACUUCUUUAAAAGGAUUUACUAUAUUUCAUUUAUAAAAUACAAGUUUUAUUGUCUGUAUCAUUGUUUCUGGCAUGUGUAAUAGCAUAUUACUCUUUAUCUAGAAAAGGAUCUAUAUUUCACACAAUUAUACAAACAUGAUGUGUCCAUUAAAAACAAAAAUCAAAGUCUUAAAAUAUAAUUAAAAGAAAACAAAAGGGAUUUGGUACCAUAAUCUAGAAGAAUGAGAGAUGUAAGACAGUAGAAAAUUUUAUAAGCAAUGGGCCAGUCCUUUAGAUAUGAAAUUAAACACAUUCAUUUAAGUUUUAAAAUUAAAUUUUCUUAAGUGGCAUCUUGGUCUAGUGGCUUGAACACAGAAUCAGCAAACAGAAAUGCCUGAUUUCUAAUUCUGAUUCUGCUACUGAUUUGCUGCAUGGUUAAAGGUAAUUCACGAUCACCGUGUCUCAUAUUUCUCCAGCUGUAAAAUGGAAUAUAUCACUGCUUACUUACCAGUAACUCCUUCACAAGGCUGUUGUGAGGAUCAGUUAAUGCAUGCACAGUGCUUUCAAAUAUUACUAUUUGUAUUUUAAUUCCUAUUAAAUAAGAAUCUAAGCAACACUUAGAUAUUAAGUGAUAAGCACUAUGUAAAAAACUUAAAAUAUCUAAGUUGGGCCUGAGUUGAAAAGUUUGGCUACAGAUAUUAUGAACUUUCCCAAAGUUCAGUGGUGCUCUGAACUAUAUUUUGGUUUAGGAAUGUACUAACCUUUUAUUUUAAAAUGCUACUGCAAAUUCUUGCUUCUAUUUGGGUAAAACAUGCAUCACUCAUGAUACAUUUCAGUGAACACCUAAACAUAAUGUACACACAGCUAACAACUUCUACACUGUAUCUGAUGUGAGCAAGUGAAAUGAAAUUUAAUUUAAUUCACUUUUGGUAAAAAUUUCUUGGAUGACUAUACUGAAAGCAAAAAGCUAUCUGAAGAACAAAGUAGACAAUAAAAUCAUUAUCAUUUUAUCUUGUAUACAAAAUGGCUCCUUUUUUAAAAAAAAGUAUAAUAAACAUACAUAUUUUUAGAAAAACUUGAACAAGAAAUAUCAAUGGAGAUUUCUUAUGACUUUUUUGUUCCUUCCGUGUUUCUUGCAAUGAUUACUUGCAACAUUUCUUUUUCAAAUGGCCUGCAGAGUGGCUUGAGAAUACUAGCAUUAUUUAUUUCCACUGA